AGAGUUUGAUCAUGGCUCAGGAUGAACGCUAGCGGCAGGCCUAAUACAUGCAAGGUCGAACGGAGGCCCUUUCGGGGGGCCGAGAGUGGCGGACGGGUGCGCAACGCGUAUGCAACCGACCCCGACGCGGCGGACAGCCGGUGGAAACGCCGGGCGAUCCGCCAUGCGGCCUUAGGGGGGCAUCCCCCCUUUGGCCAAAGCCUUCGGGCGCGUCGGGACGGGCAUGCGUCCCAUUAGCUUGUAGGCGGGGCGACGGCCCACCUAGGCUACGAUGGGUAGGGGAUCUGAGAGGACGGUCCCCCACACUGGCACUGAGACACGGGCCAGACUCCUGCGGGAGGCAGCAGUAGGGGAUAUUGGUCAAUGGGCGAGAGCCUGAACCAGCCAAGUAGCGUGCAGGACGACGGCCCUAUGGGUUGUAAACUGCUUUUAUGCGGGGAUAAAGUUCACUACGUGUAGUGUUUUGUAGGUACCGCAUGAAUAAGGACCGGCUAAUUCCGUGCCAGCCGCUGC
This 513-nucleotide ribosomal RNA is filed under the name uncultured bacterium. RNAcentral's name for it is "bacterial SSU rRNA". It matches the Rfam family "Bacterial small subunit ribosomal RNA", at positions 8 to 518 of the family's 1533-position model. The record is from RNAcentral.